This 1744-nucleotide long non-coding RNA is filed under the name Olea europaea (common olive). RNAcentral describes it as "long non-coding RNA (OEUR_LNC008783)". The record is from RNAcentral. Lineage: Eukaryota; Viridiplantae; Streptophyta; Magnoliopsida; Lamiales; Oleaceae.
UUUAAUUAAUAUGAUUAAUUAAUUAUUUAAUUGUUCCGAUCCAUUUGUCUAAAAGAGUUUAAACGAACUUAAUUGCUAGAAACUUGAAACAUGUUUGCAUAUAAUAUUAGUUAUUAUAUAAAAAUACAUUUAUGUGAUAAAUGCAUUAUUAGUGGAUGAUUAUGGACUCGACCAUAUGGAUGUGUUGAAUGGUUGAUUCUUGUUGUUGUUAUUAUUGUGGGCAUGCGAGCUCUUAAUUGUUUUGGACCUAUGAGUCUGUUAUUGUUAUUGUUAUGGGCCUGCGAGUCCAAUUAUAUUUAAGUCUGCGUGCCAACUAGUAUAGGAUAUAAGUUGCAGCUGGACUAAUUGAAGAAACAAGAAGAAGACGAGACCAUGGAGAUGGUGCAUUAUUAUUGAAUCAAUACUAUAUCCCCUAGGAAUUGACCAACUAGUCUUCCUUAUGGCUCGGGAAGACUAAAUAAUAAAAGUCCAUAAUCGUCCACACUAUUACAUUAUAUUAUAUAUGUGUUUAUUUGCAUGGUAGAUGUGUAAUAUAACAUAUAUGAUUGUUACGAUGAGACUUUUAAAUGCAAAACCCCUCAAUAAAAUAUUAAGUUAUCUUUUACUUUCGCCUUCCAUCGUUAUAGUGAAAAAUCAGAGUCCCAAAUCGUCUCAACUUGUUGAGUACACUCAAGGCUGGUCUAUUAGGGAUAUAUUUGACACUAUGAACUAUUGGAUAUUUUUGAAUGAUGGGUUUGACUUAACUAAAGUUCAUCUCUUGUUAAGAACAUUCAAGGAGAUAAAUUUUAGAGGCAUGUUAAGCUAUAACAUAAGAUGUGUAAUGACAAAAAGUUGUUAGCUUAACGAUCUGCGAGUUGUAUGGAGAUGCAAUUGAUAAUAGUAUCUAUCCAAAUAUUUUAUUAAGGUUUGUUGAGUACACUCAAGGUCUUGAUAUAACAAAUGGGAUCUCAGCCCACUGGGAGUCAAGUAUGAACUCCAUAAAUUUAUGUAAGAGGAUCAUAAAUUUGAGUUAAACAGUGAGAGCAUAAUUAAUUUAAUAAAAUUCCAUGUUAAGUUAAUUGAUGCAUUUUUUAUUAUUAUUCUUUUUCUUUUUGUCACUUAUACUUAUUGAAUCAUGAGUAACCAUAUGUAUUUGAGAGACAUACUGGAUGCCAACAACCAAAUUAAAUCUUCUUGAUUGGCACUGCAAUUUGAGAAUUGUUCUCAGGUAUGAGAAAGUUGGUUGUCCUCAAGUAGCCAUUUUCCAGAAACACUUGGUGAUGACUCAACUAAGGAAAAUGUGGCUACUAUAGUAAACACGGUGAUGAGAUAGUAUUGCACGCAUGCGAUGCUUGCAACUAUGUCACUGAAUUAUAAAAGCAACUUGAGAGUAUAGAUGUUAAUACAUAAUUCUUCAUUACAAAGAGUUGUAUGAUAAUAAUCAUGUGUGGAAGGAUAUGAGACUUCCAAACAACUAUACCGGUGCAAAAUGACAGAGUAAUCUUCAAUCGAUGCUUAGACACUGAAGAUGAUUGACGUUGAGAGAUGUCUCAAUUGAGUUCUGCAAUCUCUGUCAGAGAAAGCUAUUCACAACUAAUUAAGAAUUUAACGUGAAUAAGCUCGAAUGCACAAUUAUUGAGUUACUUAACAUGCUUAAGACUGUUAAACCCAGUAUCAAAGUUAAUAAUGGGCAAGCCAUUAAUUCCUCUAAAGAUAUUAAGAGGAAUCUAAAGGGGCUUUGUGAAAGCGUUCCAAUAUGGUUAAG